CUCCGUGCCAGCAGCCGCGGUAAUACGGAGGAUGCGAGCGUUAUCCGGAAUCAUUGGGUUUAAAGGGUCCGUAGGCGGGCUAAUAAGUCAGGGGUGAAAGUUUGUCGCUCAACGAUAAAAUUGCCGUUGAAACUGGUGGUCUUGAGUAUGGAUGAAGUAGGCGGAAUGCGUGGUGUAGCGGUGAAAUGCAUAGAGAUCACGCAGAACUCCGAUUGCGAAGGCAGCUUACUAAGGCAUAACUGACACUGAAGCACGAAAGCGUGGGUAUCAAACAGGAUUAGAUACCCUGGUAGUCCACGCAGUAAACGAUGAUUACUAGGAGUUUGCGAUAUAGUGUAAGCUCUACAGCGAAAGCGUUAAGUAAUCCACCUGAGGAGUACGCCGGCAACGGUGAAACUCAAAGGAAUUGACGGGGGCCCGCACAAG
This 426-nucleotide ribosomal RNA is filed under the name uncultured bacterium. RNAcentral's name for it is "bacterial SSU rRNA". It matches the Rfam family "Bacterial small subunit ribosomal RNA", at positions 501 to 929 of the family's 1533-position model. The record is from RNAcentral.